RNAcentral lists this ribosomal RNA (406 nucleotides) under uncultured bacterium. RNAcentral describes it as "partial 16S ribosomal RNA". It matches the Rfam family "Bacterial small subunit ribosomal RNA", at positions 30 to 526 of the family's 1533-position model. The record is from RNAcentral.
AUUGAACGCUGGCGGCAGGCCUAACACAUGCAAGUAGAACGAGUGGCGGACGGGUGAGUAAUGUCUGGGAAACUGCCUGAUGGAGGGGGAUAACUACUGGAAACGGUAGCUAAUACCGCAUACCAUCAGAUGUGCCCAGAUGGGAUUAGCUUGUUGGUGGGGUAACGGCUCACCAGGGAGACGAUCCCUAGCGGGUCUGAGAGGAUGACCAGCCACACUGGAACUGGGAAACGGUCCAGACUCCUACGGAGGGCAGCAGUGGGAAUUAUUGCACAAUGGGCGAAAGCCUAAUGUAGCCAGGCCGCUGAGAUGAGGAAGGCCUUCGGGUUGUAAAGUACUUUCAGCGGGGAGGCGUUACCCGCAGAAGAAGCACCGGCUAACUCCGUGCCAGCAGCCGCGGUAAUAC